CUGCUUGCCCUCUCUCUUCUUCCUCCUCCUCUCGCCUCUCCCCUCCCUUCUCCGCCCAGCGACUCCUUUGUGCGUUCCUCCAGCCCUCACCUCGGCCUCUCCUAUCCCAAUUAGUCAGUUUCAAGGGGGCCCCCGCCGGCGGCCCCGCCCUCCUCUCAGCCCCCCAAAAAAGGGAUCCUUGAAACCGCCCCGUCGAGCUCAAGCACCAUCCCAAAAUGUGCUCUCGGCCAAUCAGAUUUAAACCCCAGGACCAGCCCCGAGGGCUGGAUUGGUCGACCACAACAUAAUGAGAUCAGAAACCAGAUGCCAACAAAACUUUCCCCCCCUCCUUUUGCUUUUUAAAGAGACAAGCUAUUAUUAUAUUAAGGGCUGUUUGCCUAGCACGGGAUUUCUCCGGAGUCGCGGCGGCGAGAUCCGGAGACACACAUUCCCCAGAACUGCGGCAGACCCAAGCCACUCGGCCCUGGAUCACUCUUCUUCUGGGGGGCUAAGGCGCUCUCUCGGUACAAACCAAGUCCUCCCAGCAUGGUGACCUGUUUCCUGCCCCAAUCUAGAAAAGGGUUGCUUUACAAACAAAACAGAAACAACAACAAAAGAAAUUUGAGAGAAAGAAAGAAGAAAGGAAUAGACAGGAGAUUACAAAAAAAAAAUUCUAAGGAGAUACAUACAACAGAUCCAGGUUUGACAGGAUUCGAUUUUUUUUUUUUCCUGGAUUGAAUGAUAAACAGAUUUUCAAGUUCUUUAUAAUGUGAAAAUGUUCCUUGUUGUAUCCUGGAGAAGUUGCCUUUUCACUGCUUUAGGAAGAAUAUUUUCCUUCAAAAUCAGGGGGAUGCGCUUUUUGUUCUCCAUUCCAUUUCCAGUUGACCCCCAAAUCCACUUGGAUACAGAGCGGUCUGGGGAGGAGAAAGUUGUACUCUGGGGGCCCAAACCACACCUGAGGCGCUCCUCCUUCAGAUCUCCCCCUCCCUGUGUAUCCCUGCUUCUCUAGAGCUGGGACCAAGCCUCUGAGCUGAGUAGGGAAGACAAAAAUGAGUAAGACAAGCUCCUACUCUCCAUGCAGGAAGCUCACCGUCUGAUAGGAAAUUGGGAGUCAAUCUCCAAUAGAAAUGCAGCAUCUUCAAUUUCCUUCCGUGACAAACCUGUUUUCCUGCCCUGGGGCCAGUUUUGAGUGACAGUUUUCCCUUCCCCAGCCACCCCCACAAAGGCGGGGCUGGAGGUGGAAAAAAGAAAUCACAGGCAUUCUUUCAUUCACUCAGAAAAGCAUUUGUUCCUUCAACACACUUUUAUCGAGUCUUUUCCUCAUUUCAAACCACUGUGGUAGGUGCUGCGGGCGAUGCGCAGGAAAAUGGCACCAUCCCUGCGCUUCAAGAGUUUCUGGCAUCCGGGAAGAAUAGUCAUUCCACUGCGACCUUGCAUUUAUCUAGCGUUUCUACAUGAAAUAAGAAGUCACGAUAUUUCAUGAUUACUCUUGCCUUUUCAUGUGAGGAUCUGGAGUGUGAACAGGACCAGAACUUACAUCUUCGGAUUUCAGGUCUACCCACCGCACUUCCCGCGCCACAAACGCACCGCUCAGCAGCGGGAGAUCUGUAACUAAAGGAAAUGAACAGAUUCUCUCAGUGUAAACUCUAGAUGAUGUCAUUUGAUGGAUACAACACGUAAUUCUGAUUUUUUUUUUUUUUUUUUGUAAUUAGCUGAGGCACUGACUGACCUGGACCUGACCCCUAACUUGUCUGGUCAUUUGACUUCUUUGAACCUCAGGUUCGCCAUCUGCAAAGUGGGAAUGAGCCAGCGAUUUUUAAAAUAUGAGACUACACAUCCAAAGUAAUUUCAGAAUGACAGGAAUACAUUUUACAAUCGCGAAGAACUUUUCAAAACAUGAAGUUACAUGAAUUGAAUAUUCAUUCAGCAAACAUCCUUGGGUACACAAGGUAACUACUACCAUUUCUUGAGCUUCUACUGAGCACUGAGCAUGCAUUAUGUUGCAUGGUGUUUAUCGAAGAAGAAUCUACAAUUAAAAUAAACAUUCCUUCCUUCCUUCAUUCAUUCAAGAUGAAGACUCUGACCUUAGGUGAGAUUGGACAGCUUUCUCAAGGUCACAACGUAAGUGUCAGAGCUGAGAUUUAAACCCAGGCCUGCUUGGCUCUUAAAGCUGUGUUGUCUCCUACACCACACAGCCCCUAAUGUCUUCCAAGAAUUGUGUGCUUUUAUGCACUUAACAACUGGGAAUCGAUCACCAAACCCAACCCCUGUUCCUGCGGAGCUUACAUUCUAGUGGGAGAGGGAGACACUCACAUUCAUCACACAGUCACUUAAAUGGAUGCAAAAUUGCCACAGGAUUCCUUGCUGUGGAGGGAAAGCCUGUGCUGAGGCAGCAUAAUACAGGAGGGAAUCGGACUGAGUUGGGGAGGGUGGAGGAGGACUGAGUAAUAGUGAGGAGUAAAACAGAAGGAGGUAAAGAGAGCCUGGAUCUACAGGGCCUUACAGACCAUGUGUAAGGUGCUAGGUAUAGAAGUAUGAACCCACCAUCUCAAGGUGGGGAUAGGCAUUCCAGACAGAGGGAAUGGCACGUGCAAGGGCAGGACGGGGUCAAACGGAUGGAAUGGGCAGGCAGCACAAGUAUACACAAAUUUGGCCCUGUUAGAGCCCUGUGUAGGGGACUGAUGGCAGAGGAGACUUUAAACAAGCAGGGACCCUAGAUAUCGUGCACCCAAUCUGGAUUCCUACCGAUGGAGAUGCACUGAAGUGUGGGGAAGGGAAGUAGUCAUGCCUGAGCUUCAGUUAGUGGCUUUGGGCAGUCGUGGGCUGAGUCAGAAAUACCAGUUAGGAAUAGAUUACAAGAGUCUGGGCAAGAGAUGGUGAGGGCAUCCAUUGAACUGAGGCCGUGUAGUUGGAGAGAAGAGAGAGUAAGGGAGGAGGCCAACCAAGGUUUCUGACCAAGAUGGCCUGAUGUCAUUCAUGAAGCUAGGAAAUGUGGAAUAGGGUGCAUAAUGAGCACGGGCGAGCUGGUCCAAGUUCAUGGUAUAUCCAAUGGAAGGUGUCCAGAAAGCAGGUGGCUAUUCUAACCCAGGGGCCAGGAGGGAGCUCUGGGCUAGAUUCAGAUUGGGUAACUUUAGCCUCUGGUUGUAGCUAUGGGAGCGCUUAAGAUCACCUAGGGAAGGCGGAUUGGGUGGGAAGACCAAAGCUUUGGAGAUGCCAACAUUGAGGACCACGGGCUGAGGGGGAGGGAGACUGAGAAGGAGUGGUGGGGCCAGAAGAAAGAGUCUAGUCAACAUAUAACCAUCACAGGCUUGCUUCUUUGGACACUGAGAGCCUCAAGGCCGUUGACCUCGAACAGUUGACCACAACUUGUUUCAGUUGUGACUAUUAAAUGAGGUAGAGUAUGGCACUCCCUCGACCUGAUGUUAGGCUGAAAGCUUGAAAAAUAAUAGCUAUUGUUUUUAAUUCAACAAAUUAUUGAGCACCUACUAUCUGCAAAGCAGACAAAGUCUAUAGAGACCUACGCUCCAGCUUCGGGAAACUUAGGGUCUAGGGGCUGACAGUCUGCCAUCUGCUAGCAGAGCGCAGCUGCUGUUCAGCCCCGAGGAACAUUUCUAGUUGGUCUUGGGCUUCUGCGGUAGGAUGGGAGCCCAGAUGUCCCCAGUGCACUGUGCCAAUGCCACUUCUCCAAAUCUUGAGGCACUGCUGUCAAUCAUCGCUCAGCUUACAAACCUGGUAUCUGGGAUAACUGUUGAGUGCCCGCUGUGAUGACGCGCUGCGCUGAGUUUCAUGGGACGGUCCGCUAGAGCAGAAAUCUCAACCCCGACAGAACAGAGCAAAGAGCUGGUAGAGAGGAAAGAAACCUGGUCUGGGGCUCAGAAUGUUCCGGCUGAGGGCUUGGCUGCACCCCACAUCUGCCGAGUGACCUUAGGCAAGUCCGUUUUCCUUCCUUAGCUUUGGCGCCCUCAUUGGUAGAAGGGGGUCAUAAAAACAUCUAUUGAUUUUUACCUUUGGGCCAGAUAUAAGGAGCGGUGAGAAUCCGAUGUUUGGAUCAUGGAAACUGUCCUUGCUCGAAAGGCUUGUGUGCUACAGGUAAGUGAAAAGACAGGCAGCCAGCCAUACCCAGCACACGGUGGGCACGCUCAGAGACAGCACAGAAACUUCUCUCUGCUAAGGAAACCCGAGGGGCUCUGCUCAGGGCUCCCCCUCUUACACAAAAAUCCUCUCGUCUCUGGCCUUUCAUUUUGCCAAGAGAGUCCAGGUAAUUGCACG
This 4248-nucleotide long non-coding RNA is filed under the name Ursus thibetanus thibetanus. RNAcentral's name for it is "lncRNA (ENSUTTG00000011079.1)". The record is from RNAcentral. Lineage: Eukaryota; Metazoa; Chordata; Mammalia; Carnivora; Ursidae.